AAAUUGCUGGAAAUAUGCAAGCCAUAACGUGAAUUUUGGCUUUAUGCCCUCUCCAAGCUUGCUUCUUUUUAUCCUCAGCAUGUACUUGUAUUUUCUGUAAGAUGUCAUUCUUUAAAACGAUACUUGAUUGCCUGGUACAUGUUUCUAGACACUCACUUUUAUAUAUUUGGUGUUUCAUAGGUCUUUCCUCUGUGGUGGAUCAACUGGCCUGUUCAUUUAUGGCUAUUGCUUGUAUUACUACUAUGCCAGAUCAGAUAUGUCCGGCUUCAUGCAAACCUCAUUUUUCUUUGGCUACAUGGCCUGUGUUUGUUACGGUUUCUUCCUCAUGCUUGGAACCAUUGGUUUCCGUGCUUCCUUGUUCUUUGUCCGCCACAUCUACCGCUCAAUCAAGUGCGAGUAGGAAGUCAUAUGGUCUUCCUUAUGUUCAGUGAGUAGGCUGCCUUCCUUUCUUUGAAUACACUUAAUUGAAGGCAACUCCGCGUGUUUGUAUUGAUGAAGGUGGUUUUAUAACGUGCCAUGUUACAGGAGAAGCCACAGUUGGCUGGGAAAACUUGUUCUGGGAUUGCAGGAGCUUUAUGCUACUCUUGGAGGAGGAUGGCACGUUCCAUGGAGGACUUCUGUAAUAGCCUUUUUUAUAUAUAGGAGAGGAACAUGUAGGGCUUUAGAAUGCUGUUAAAGAAUUUGCAGUGCUUCAAUGUGAGAUAAUCCAUCAUUUUGAAUGUAUUCUAUCACUGUUAGAAGCCGUAGAGUUUGUGUUAUUGGUAGCAGUACUUCGAAAAUUCUUGUCUCCACAAUUUAUUAUAGUUGCAAAUACAUGUUCUGUCAUUUAUUCUCAUAGGCUGGACUAGAAAACUUGAGUAUGAGGAUCGACUGUUUUGUUUUUGGUUCUAGGGGAAACAUGACUGUUCAUCUUUCUAAUUUCACUAUUUAUGUUUCAAUUUAAUGAUCCAAAUUAGCUGAGAAAAAAAAAUCAAGGUAGCUUCUGGAUGCCAUCAAAAGAGAUGAAUGAAGGUCGUGGAGACUGAGAGGACAUGUCAUGUAGAUGGAGUCAUGGAACCAUAACAGGACAGUAACAAGCCCAGAAUGACAGAAGUUAGCCCGAAUUAGGGUUAAACACAAACUUUAAAAUUUUAUUUUAUUUCUCAAUUAAUAAGUCUGCUAAAGAAGUUUGUGGUGCUUUUUAUAGGUUAGAAAAAUCGAUAUGGACUAGGAAACAAAAGUCAGAAUCCUUAGAUACAAAGAAAAAUAGCAUAAAAUCUUAGACAAAUGAUAAAAAUAAAAAUAUUUAGAAAAAAUAAAAAAAUUAGCCUAGCAUUGAUAAUUGACCCAAAGACUUUGUAUAUGAAAACUGCUUGUAAAAUUAUAUGGAGAAAUCUGAAUUAUUUGGAGAAAUUUAAUUUGAUUAAACAGGUAAAUAUUUUGUUAUUUUAGUUUUAAAUUAUUAUUCUAAUCUAGUAUGAUGAAGUCUUGUCUAGAGUCUAAACUUAUUCCAAUACUUUAUAAAAACAUAUAUUAAAUAAUUUAAAUGGUAUAUUUUAGCUAAAUCCUCAAAUAACUUAUAAAACCUUUAAUCUCUUAAAACCCGGUUGCAUCAAAUUAUUUUUUUAAAUUAUAAAAAAAUUAUUUUAAAACUAAACGUAAUUAUUUUAUGUUUUUGCAAACUUUUCAACAUAAAUUUCUCAAGAUUGUCAAUUUUCUUCAAUUAUUGCAGUUAUUUUUUGCCUAUUUUAGUAGGAUGAAGACUUUUGAUAUUAUGUUAAUGAAAGCUUUGGUCAAAGGGACAGAUCACCAUUUGAUGGUGUUUAAGGCAAAUACAUUCUCUUUUUUCUUGGAGAAAAUCUAUAUGAAAAUUGCUUAUUCAAUCAAUUGGAGAAAUUUAAAUCUGAUUUAACAGAUGAAUCUUUUGUUAUUAUAAUUUUAAGUUAUUAUUUUAGUCUAACAUGAUAAAGUUUUCUUUUAGAUCUAAAUAUGUUCCACAUCUUAUAUCAUUUAUAUAGUAUAUUUAGAGCAAGACCUCAAAUAAUUUAUCAAAAUUUUUAAUUUUUGAAAACUUUUGAACCUGUAAAUCUUUUUUUGAAUAAUAAAAUUUUAUUUUAAAACUAAAAAUAAUUAUUUUAUGUUUUCGCAAACUUUUCAACAUAAAUUUCUCCAAUUGAUUGUUAAUUUCUUCGAUUAUUUUUUUAUUUAUUUUAAUAAGAUAAAAACUUUGAUAUUAUGUUAAAAAAUAUUUUGGUGAAAGGGACAGGUCACCAUUUGAUGGUCAUUGAGGCAAAUACAUUAUCCUUUAUUUUUUUAUUUUUAUUUUUAGAGGCAAACUCAGGGUAAAAACUAAAAAGGGGUAUGGCAAUUAAAGCUAGUCUUUUCUUUUAUUUUAUUUGCCCUAGUUUUCUUGGUCAGUUAGCCAUAUUUUAUCAUGCAUAUUUUAACAGAAAUGUAUGGUCCGUUCUAAGACCAACAAAAACAUUGCAAUAAGAUUUAAACUAACAUCAACUUCUAUUAAUUCGUAAAAGAAAAUUAUUUGUUAUUUAGAAAAUUAGAAACAAGAUAAAAAAAAAAAAUACCUAAGCAAAUAUAAUUGCUUAUUACAACAUUUCGGUUUUGCUAUUAGAUUUGAAUUUAAUUGAUUAUCUUCAUUAUUUUAUUCAAAUUUAAUAAUAUAUCAUUUAUCAAUAGUCUAAGUCUCAUAUCCUUAACAUGUUAUUUUUAUUAUUUUAUUUAAAUUUAAUAAUAUAUCAUUUAUUAAUGAUACAAGUCAUGAAUUUAACAAGUAAAAUCGCGUAUUAAUAAGAAAAUUCAAACUAUAAUUUUAAAAAAUAAAAAGGUAUCAUUUAACUAUAUUAAAAAAAAACUGUUUCACAGUAAAACACGUCUCGAAUCAAAUUCCAGUUCAGCAAAUUAUUGAAUUGACUUGUUAAAUAGAGUUUUAUAACUAUAUUUAACACUAGUCUUGAAUAGUGAGGGGGGAAUUAUAAAUUGAAAGCAGUUUUGACUAAUGAACAGGCAUCACACGACAUAGAUUACGAUUCAAAUAAAAAUAAGAACAGAUUAGAAAUUAAAAGACUGGAUCAAUCAAACCUUCAUCAAAUAACUACUAAUUAACAAGGUCGCUUGCGUUCUUAACACACAAAGUGAUUUCUUUCUGUUUUUUUAGUCUUUUGACCUGACCUCCAUGCUUCAAUUGCAUGGAAAAUAGCCAUGACAACCACGCCAUGGAAAAGAUAGCAGAUCAAAGUGAAAGCAAUGAACCACAGAAGCUAGCACAGACCUCAGAAUUAACCACAAGUAGAUGACAUGGCAAUUUCGAUAUCUAGGGUUGUUGGGUUGUGAAGUUGUAAUACUUGGCAUCCAAGCAAUCACUCGCCUUCAAAGUUUGGAGUGUUCCUUCCAUUUCACUCUUCUUAUGUCUGUGUUGGGAUCUAAUCUAAGUGAAGUCAACCCUCUUCUUCAUAUUCGAAGGGUAUAAUUUAUUGCUAUGCAUUGGAAAGAUAGGCCUAGUUUUAUUUUAUUUUAUUUUAAAUUGAUCCCAUAUAUUAUCAAGUCACAAAGCAUAGAUAUAACUAGAUUAUUAACUUUCAUCGUGCUAUUGCGGUUGAAUCAAUUUUUUUUAAUAAAAGAAUUUAUUCAAGCAUUAUUAACAUAUUUUCUAAUAAAAUUUUUUUUAAUCAUAAACUCAAAUUAUAAUAUAUAUUAGACAACAUAUUUUUUAAAAAUUAAUAUGAUAAUCUAUUACAUGGAAUUUAAAAAAGUAUAUUAAAAUUACAACAUAUUAAAUUGACAAAAAAAACAAAUAUUGAGAUUAAUAUAUAACUAAAAGAAAAUAAAUAAAUAGAAAAUUAUUAAACACAAUUUCUAAAACAAUUAAAUAUUAAAUGAUAAAACUAAAAAGAAAAAAACUAAAUAAAAAAAAAGAACAAGAAGAUUGGAUUGUUGAAAGGUUAAAUUGAAGAAAAAGAGAUAAACAAAAAAAGCAAAAACAAAAAUGCAAAACAUUGUUCUAAUUAAUAAUGUUUUGUGGAUGUGACGAUAGUAAUUUAGUCAUUCUUUCUAGUGUUUUGUUAAUAAAAAGAGGUUGAAUGAGGAAUUCAUAAAUGAGGUUGAAAUAAUAUAAUAUAUAUAUAUAUAUAUAUAUAUUAUCAUGAUUAAUUUCAAAAUAAGGGAUGCAUUAGGAUUUUUAGAAAAAUUAUUUAUUUUCUUAAUUGUUUUCUAUUUAGUUUAUAAAAGUAAGUACUAUGCUUAAUAAUUUUAUUUUUUCUUAGUUAGUUUAAGACUUUUAUUGUUUUUCCUUUGUCUUUGAGUUUUAUAGUGUUUUGAGGUUAGUUUUUGGAUUUUGUAUAAAAAGUUGUAAGUCUAGUGGAGAGGUAAACUAUUUAAAAAUAAAUAUUGAAUAAUAAGAUUGUGAGUUACGGUUUCUUUGUGUUCCCUUCUUUUGAGAAUCAUAUGUUUUUUGUGCUUAUUAUAUUUUUUGUAUUCUUUCCUUCCGCAUCAAUUGGUUUUAGAAUCUAAUCAUCCUAAUAAUUAUUUUCUUGUUUGUGCUGGAUUAACAUGGAUUGAAGAGAUAAUAGAAAAAAUAUGCUUAUAAGACAUUUAGCGACAUAUUGAAAAAUUGAAAGGAGGUGUUUAGGAUAUGGUGAUAGAAAACAUAUAGAGACAAAUUACAAAAUCAACUUAUUUAUUGGGAAGGUUGAGGAGCCUGAGAGAUCAUGAAGAGAGUGAUUGUUGAUCCAUGUCUAAUUUUAAGAACUAUUUUAGAGGCUUGAACAGAGAAAACAAGUUAUUAAUCUGAAUAAGAAUGAUUGUAGUUCUCUUAUGAAUUGGAAUCAAACAUCAAAUUUUGAUGAGAAUGUUGAAAGUGAUGCUGAAGGAUGUGCAUCAAAUUUAUUUGAGGAGGACUUUAGAAUUGAUAAGAUCAAAGUUGAUGUUAUUGUAUUUUGAUAAAAGUUGUGAGAUAUAUUUUCAAAUCUUCUCCUAACACUAAAAUGGUCCCAUUAUUAGGAAAGCUGAGCAUGUUGAUAUGAUGAUUUUAGUAAAAAGAUCAAGCAUGUAAAUAUUGAAAACUCUUGAUUGAACGUCCGUAAAAUCAAGACAAACACAAAUUAAACUUGAGGAGGAGUUCUUUCCAAUCUAGAAAAACUGAUAUAAAAGGAUUUUUUUAAUAUUUUUUGUUUUCUUAGUUAUUAUUUUUUUAAUUAAUUCAUAAUUAGUUUUAAUAUUAAUUAUUAUGAUUAAUGAUUUUAUUUUUUGUAAUUUGAUUAUGAUUUUUAUUGCUUUUUCUUAUUUCCAAGUUUUCUAUUUUGUUUAGAUUAUUUAAAGAAUUGUAAAUCUUUUAGAGGGGUAGACUAUUCAAAAAGAAAUAUUCAAUAAUAAGAUUGUUAAUUAGGGUUUAUGUGUAAUCCAUUCUUUUGAAAUUUUGUGUUUUUGUACUUAUUAUCUUUUUUUAUAUUAUUUUUUCAAUAAGUUAAAUUUUAUAAACACUAAAAUAAAUAAAAAAUUUGUGGGAUGCUAAAUACCAAAUUAUUUUGAAAAAUAAAGGUUGUUCGUAUCAUUCAUGUUUUUGAAAACCAAAAUUUAAAACUUUUUUCCGUUUGUUUUUUUAAAAUAAAAUUUCUAUAAUUUUGACAAAGCCUGCUAGUUUUGCAUUUAAAAAAAAUUAAUUAAUUUUUUGUUUGAAGAUAAAACAAAAAACAAAAACAGUAAGAUUAAAAUAAUGGUUGAUUAUUGUUUUAAAACAGAAAAAAUAAAAAUAAAAGAGACAUGUUAUUUUAUACCUCAUGUUUGAAUAAAUUUAUUUUAAUUUAUUUUAAAAAUUAUUUAUUUAUGUACUUGUUUUUAUUUCUCUAAUAAAAUAUGUUUUUAUCUUUUUAUAUUUAUUUAUUAUAUUCUAGGAUAUUAACAAGAUAAAACUCAAAUAAAAUCAAACAACAUCUAAUAAUUUAAGAGUUAAAGCUGAAAAUUCUCAAAACUUCUAGGAUGGCGCAUGGACUUCCAAAGCAAAACCUCGUUUAUAGUGGUCAUAAUUCUUUUUUUCAUGAACGCAUUUAAGAAUAAAAAUAAUUAUUUUUUAAUUACUCUCCUAAUCUCUUUCUCGUUAUUUGAGGAAGGCCUCAAUUUUGACACGAACCAUUUUAGAUUUGUUGGAACCACAACCCAUAAAGUCUCCAUCUUUAUAAAUCUCUCUCCUCUCUCUCUCACCCCAUAACUAUCUAACUCUCUCUUCUCUUUUUGUGAGUUACAGUGAUUGAAAAUGGAGAAGCAACUAGUGCCUUGUUUGGUUUCAUUUGUUUUGAUAUUGUGCAGCGUGUCCCAUGUUAGAUCAGAUGCAUCUGAUCAUCGUUACAAAGUUGGAGAUGAUGUCCCUCUCUAUGUUAACAAGGUUGGACCUUUUCACAAUCCCAGGUAAUCCAAUUCUCGAUCUUUCUUGCUGUUUAACAAGGUUUUGUGGUGUGUCUUCAAGUUUGUGACUUUUGAUGAUUUAGGAAGUUGGGGUAUGUGGGAUAUGGAUUAGAAAUGGAAUUGUGGAGUUGGGUUUUGGAUAAUUUGAUUUUAGCAUUAACGUGUCAGAUUCUGUGGAAUCCUUUUUUUUUGGUUUUAUGGAUUGGUUUCUUCAAUUGUUGUGGAUCUGAGCUUAUGGGAAGUGGAUCUUAUGAUUUGGUUUCCUAAAAAGGAAGAUCAAAGAUUGGAACUUGGAGUUUAACAUGAAAAUGCUGUUGAUGUCACUUAGUUGCUAAUUAAGUUGGAAAUUUAGCAUAGCUUAAUGGUUGUACAAGGAGUUGGUCUAGUGGAUCCCUGGGGAGAUAGUUGAGGAAAUGCUUAAUGGGAUUUUGGAAUGCAAGCUUUUGGAUAGAAACAUUUGCACGUAAGUAGAGUCUGUUAGUUAAAGCCCAGAAUAAUGUCCAGUGACUGGGUGUAGAUUUCUGUUUCUGGUUGUUUCUUGUGAGCUGGAAAAGUUCAAGUAUUGGGUUUUCCUUUGUUAUUGCUGAACUUGGAUCUCAGUUUUAGAUCUUUAAUCAGUCGCUGGAACUCUUUUUCUGUAAUCGUACAUGAAAUUAUGCCGGAACUUAAUUGAUAUUUACUGUGGUCAUCUCUAGACUUUCGGUUUUCAUUUUGAGAUUUUAACUGUUCAACUGUGAAAACUUUCGUUAGUAUUUUUUUAUUCAUAAUUGUUUGAUAUUGUUUCUUUCUUGUUCAUUCUGUCAGUGAAACAUACCGCUACUUUGAUCUGCCUUUCUGCUCAUCAGGUCUGCAUCAAUUCACAUUACUCCUACUAUAAAGCUUUGUUUUAUUGUGGAAGUUUACUGACGAUGUUUAAUACAGGUCCUACAAAGGACAAGAAAGAAGCCCUUGGUGAAGUGUUGAAUGGGGAUCGUUUAGUCACUGCCCCAUACAAACUUGAAUUUUUAAAUGACAAAGAUUCUGAAGUUGCAUGCAAAAACACGCUGACAAAGGAACAAGUUGCUCAGUUCCGAGAAGCAGUUUCCAAGGACUACUACUUCCAAAUGUAUUAUGAUGACUUGCCCAUUUGGGGUUUCUUAGGGAAAGUUGAUAAGGAACGCAAGAAUGACCCUAGUGAAUACAAAUAUUACCUGUUUAAGCAUCUUCACUUUACCAUCUUUUACAAUAAGGAUCGUGUCAUUGAGAUCUCUGCACAAUCUGAUCUGAACAAUGUUGUGGACCUUACUGAAGAUAAAGAGGUCAAUGUGGAGUUCAUGUAUUCAGUUAAAUGGAAGGAAACAGAUAUAACAUUUGAGAAAAGGAUGGACAAGUAUUCACAAUCUUCUUCACUUCCUCAUCACUUGGAAAUUCAUUGGUUCUCAAUUAUUAACUCAUGUGUGACAGUUCUCCUGUUGACUGGUUUUCUUGCCACAAUUCUCAUGCGAGUCCUGAAGAAUGAUUUUGUCAAGUGAGAAGAACAUUUCAAUGAAUAUGUUAUUAAAACAUGUCUGCUUAUGUUGUUUAAACUGUCAUUUUCUUAUUUUUUUGAUCUUCCCAUUUGUAAUAGAUAUGCUCAUGAUGAGGAGUCAGCUGAAGACCAAGAAGAGACUGGGUGGAAGUACAUCCAUGGUGAUGUAUUUAGAUAUCCAAAGUAUAAGUCUUUGCUUGCAGCAGCAGUUGGCUCUGGCACCCAGCUGUUUACCCUGUAAGUUCAACUUCAAAGCUGUGCUUUUGUUGGUUUUGUCUCAAAUCCAUUUUUUAAAGUUAUUCUGUUGCUUAGCAGUCUGCUAACUUUGCUUACAUAUGUGCAUUGGCAGCACAAUUUUCAUUUUCGUGCUUGCUCUAGUUGGUGUCUUUUAUCCUUAUAAUCGUGGAGCUCUGUUUACUGCACUGGUUGUCAUAUAUGCUCUGACAGCUGGGAUUGCAGGCUACACUGCAGCCUCUUUCUUUUGCCAACUGGAAGGAACAAAUUGGGUAACUUGUUAAGAAUUCCUUUUUCAUUGCCUUUUGCACUUAUCAUUGUCAUUGUUUUGUGUGUUCUAGACAACUGUUGUUACUGUGUGUCUAAGGAUGUUGUAGUUGGUAUCAAAUUUGGUAAAUGGAUAUAUAGGAAUUCUCAGUGUUUCUUUGAAAUGUGUUUUGCUUUAAGAUAAAUGCUUGGUGAAAAUUGACUUUUGUCAGAAUCAAUUUGGUUUUCCUAUAAACACUUUGUGGAAAUUGUCCGAAACAUGGAAAUGGGGGUCAAAACCACCUUGUGUUUGGAUAAUGUUUUCCUCUCUUAUAAUAGCUGAACUAAUAGGGAUGCGAAAGAGAAGCUUGAGAAAGCAGUGAAAGAAAACAAUGUGCUUGAAAGUUGGUGUACUGCUUCCUGAAGGCUUGCGCUACACUUGAAAAGCUAACCUCAGAAGACGAUAAAUUAGAGCUCAACAGUUCACAGUUGCUUCUAAUAAAUUUACAUACAUUGAAACUAAGUAAUUGUAGAAUUGGAUACGAGUGCAAUUGACUAUUUUGUGCUGGUUGUGGCUUUAUGAAAAUUAGCAUGGUUUGCAUUCAUUAGUAUUAUGAUAGUGACGUUAAUUGAUCAUUAUUAGAAUGAUGUAAUCACUUUUCAGCAGCAUUGUUUGAAUCCAUGAUGUCUUAUGCUCUAUCAUUGCAGAACUUCUAGCUACUCUAGAAACUACCAUUCAACUUUGAGACAUGCUAGGCUAAGAAGUUCUGAAAUUCUGGUUUUGCAGGUCAGGAACUUGUUGCUAACUGGAGCCCUGUUUUGUGGACCCCUGUUUCUCACUUUCUGCUUUCUUAAUACCGUUGCAAUCACGUAUAGUGCCACUGCAGCAUUGCCAUUUGGAACAAUAGUGGUGAUAUUUCUUAUUUGGGCUCUGGUAACAACACCAUUGCUGGUACUGGGUGGGAUUGCAGGGAAGAAUAGCAAGGCUGAGUUUCAGGCUCCCGUCCGCACCACUAAAUACCCCAGAGAGAUUCCUCAGUUGCCUUGGUAUCGGAAAACAGUUCCUCAGAUGGCCAUGGCAGGAUUCUUGCCUUUCAGUGCAAUAUAUAUUGAACUUUACUACAUAUUUGCCAGUGUUUGGGGUCACAGGAUCUACACCAUAUACAGCAUCUUGUUCAUUGUCUUCAUCAUUCUCUUGAUUGUCACUGCUUUUAUAACAGUGGCGUUGACAUAUUUCCAACUUGCUGCUGAAGACCAUGAGUGGUGGUGGAGGUAUGUUUUUUUUUUUGAUAGAUAUAAUUUCAUGUGAAAUGCUAAUAUCUCUGAGCUUAUUGUUUCAAUUUUGCAUCAUUAUCAGCACAAAUAAAAUAUCUGGGAAGUUUUGCUCGCAAAUAACAUUCUUUAGUUUUGUUUUUUGGUUUCCAACUUUUUGUGAAAUGGUAGCAGAUUGUGUUUUUUCAUUCUAUGUUUUCACUCUUGAGAUGUUAUUUAAAUUACUCGAAAUAUUCAAGUCACAAUGUAAUUUUUUCAUCAUCGGGUUCCUGUUAUGAAUUUUCCUGAUGUAACGGUCUCCUAGCUUGUUUUUUUUUUCAUCCAUUGCAUGAAUUUUCCUUGUGUUUUCUGAAGUGUCGUGUUUUAAAAGGAUAUCUGAUUGCCUGAUUCAUAAUGCUACACACUUACCUCUCUGAAUUUGGUGUUCGUCAGGUCGUUCCUUUGUGGUGGAUCAACUGGAUUGUUCAUUUAUGGCUAUUGCUUGUAUUACUACUAUGCAAGAUCAGACAUGUCAGGCUUCAUGCAAACCUCCUUUUUCUUUGGCUACAUGGCCUGUGUUUGCUAUGGUUUUUUCCUCAUGCUUGGCAGUAUUGGGUUCCGUGCCUCCUUGUUUUUUGUCCGCCACAUUUACCGUUCAAUCAAGUGCGAAUAGCAAGCCAUGUCAUCUUC
Molecule: long non-coding RNA, 10318 nt
Filed under: Populus tremula
Lineage: Eukaryota; Viridiplantae; Streptophyta; Magnoliopsida; Malpighiales; Salicaceae
Description: long non-coding RNA (PTRE_LNC001295)
Source: RNAcentral